RNAcentral lists this long non-coding RNA (21419 nucleotides) under Triticum aestivum (bread wheat). RNAcentral's name for it is "long non-coding RNA (TAES_LNC026544)". Lineage: Eukaryota; Viridiplantae; Streptophyta; Magnoliopsida; Poales; Poaceae. The record is from RNAcentral.
AUAGCCCUCGCUGCCUGCCAUUGUUACUCAAGCCAGCAAGCAAGAAGCACAAAAGAAGCCAACACCAAUCAAGGCCUCCAUCCAAUCCCAAGCAACCUCGAAGAUGUCUUGCUGCGGAGGAAGCUGCGGCUGCGGCAGCGCCUGCAAGUGCGGCAACGGCUGCGGCGGCUGCAACAUGUACCCCGAGGUCGAGGCCGCCGGCGCCACCCUCCUCGUCGCCGCCACCGCCACCCACAAGGCGUACGUCCCUUCUCCUUCCUCAUAUAUCAUGCACUCGAUCGUAACAAUAUGACUGUAUGUUGAUCUUGGUAUGGGUGGGGUACGUGCAGGAGCUCCGGCGGCAUGGAGAUGGCGGCCGAGAACGGCGGCUGCGGCUGCACCCAGUGCAAGUGCGGCACCAGCUGCGGCUGCUCCUGCUGCAGCUGCUAGAUCAUCGGUCAUGCAUGCACCGCGUGCCUCAUAUCUAUGAUCUAUCUAUAUAUCCAUCUACCACCAUGUAACGCUACCUGAUCACGGUCUUUGUAUGUAUGUACGCACCUGCCUGCAUGAGCAGAGCAGGUGCCAUGCCAUGCAUGUAAACCCCUAAAUAAAAUCUCCCGUGGUUUAACCCCCUAUACAUGUGUUUGUGUUAUAGUCUUAUAGACCAACUUCUGGCCCAUGUUUACUAUGAACUUGCGACUUGCGAGGUGCCUGGGUUGUUAAUAGACCAGCUGGAUGCUCUCUUGAAGCAACGUAUGCACCGCUUGGAGUCGGUGUAUCUUUAUACACAUGUAUUUAUUUUACAGGUGUAUAUCAUCGGCCACACCUGGGAAAAAACGAUGGAUGGAGAAGUGUAAAUUUACAGGGGUAUUGCUCUGUGAAACGAGAAUCGAAUCAGGGCCUUAAGGGUAGGGAUGGCAAUGGGUAGGGUAUGGGCGCGUACGACUUUUUUCUGCCCAAACCCAUACCCAAAUCUUUUUUCUAUACCCAUCUAUUUCAAUAUCCAUGGACACAAAUUGGUACCCAUGCCCAUACCUAUCGGGUAUAUUAUACCCAAUGGAUAUCCAAUGGGUAUAGUAUCUAACAUUGGCAUGAUAAAGGUAAGCCAAGAAAAGGGCCUAAAACUAAAUUUAGGUACUCGGCCAUCACAAUCCGGUUUGCACUUACAUCAAAAUUUUACAAUGUGGAUUGACACACAAAUGUCUUAAUCUUCAUUACAAACUAACUUAAAAAAACAAGUUUCAAACUUGCAAUGCCAAUCACUGUAGGUAUUAUAGGGUUUAAUUUAUUUAUUAAUUUUUCUGGGUAUCCAUUAGGAUACCCAUGGGUAUAAUUUCAUACCCAUACCCUACCCAUGCAUUUUGCGGGUAUGGACACCCAUUACCCAUGGGUAUGAAGUAGUAAAAAGUCUUAUCCAUGCCCACUGUUUUCGGGUAGGGUACCCGCGGGUACCCAUACCCAUGGGCAAAACUGCCAUCCCUACUUAAGGGCGUUUGAUACAUGCGAAUAUUACUGGCCAAAGUUGAGUAUGAGAUACAUACAAUACAAACUUGACACUUUUGAAAGUCGUGCUAUCAAUCAUGAGACGCAUAGUUUAGCCAAAUUCUCGCUUAAUCUUUGUCAAAGGGUGUCACAUCUGGUUUGGCCAACCCCAUGAUCCGAUAUGUAUCCUACUCUCUGUGGUUUUCGAUGAAUAAAAUUUGGUUAAACCCUAAAAAAACUUAUUUGACGCGCCUUAGUUUUUUUCGAGAAUUUUUUUUAAAUCCGUUCAUCAAUCAUGGCAGUACAAAAAUCACAACCAGGUCCAUGAACCACCUAGCGACGACUACACUCACUGGAGCGAGCUAAACGUGCGCCGCCAUUAUCGCCCCUCCCUUACCGGAGUCGGACAAACCUUAUUGUAGUAGACAGUUGGAAAGUUAUCGUGCUAAGACCCUCAAGGACCACCGCACUGCAUAGCAACCAUCGUCGAUGAAAAGAGUUGUAGAUUGGAAAGAUCAAAGCUAUAACCACACAAGCGAAGACGAACAAAAAUGGAUCCAAUAGAUCCACCAAAGUCCAGCACGACAGAAUCCUGUGAGAUCCGGCGGGGACACACCUCCACAUGUCCUCCUCCGAUGUUAUUCGCACCACCGGGACGAGGAUCGGAUGUGGGAGACAUUAUUCCUACCCAGGGACAUCACUACCGUCACACAGCCCCAACCAAGACGUUAAACCUAACAAAAACGAGAACGGGUCCCUCCCGCUGCCGGGGGGCCAAGAUCCUCCGCACUCCGGGGAAUCGGCGCCGGCGGCAACGGGAUGAGAAAGGAAACUUUUCUUGAGAAGGAGGAAAGACAGACACAUACUGUUGUGUCUAAAUUACCGUGUCUUAGUUUGAUGUACUAUUUGCACCAGCUACUUCAUAACUAGAUUGCCAUGGUUGACGAUGGGUGUGUUCCCCUCUACUAAUAGUGCGGCAGUGCCCUAGCGGCGACAACUAUAUCAUGAACAAUUAAAACUUCACGAAAUUGGUGGCCUGGUGACUUAUGCCUGUGCCUAUAUCGCACGCUCUUUUGUGAUGACAAAGAAACAGAUUAUCAUUUUCGGAGGUUAAAUGGAAACAGAUGGAGUGAACCACAUGUAUGUUGUACCAGCAAAACAAUAUUUAAAUCGAUUCGUUGAUGAUUUCCUUGAUAUAAAAUUUGAGGUGUGCUCUACAACACCCCACCCUACCCCCGGAGCUCCUAUUUGGCACGCUAAGCGCUAGCGGUCGAGCCCGUGCGCGUCCCCUUCCCUUGCACACCCAUUUGGGUCGGCCCAUGCGCGGGGCGGGACACGCCGUUUUUAUUUUUUAUUUUUCUUUUAUUUAUUUUUUAAAUAAUUCAGGAUUUCAAAAAGUUUCAAAUUUAAAAAAAAUGUCAACUUUGAAAAAACAAAGAAAUCAUAAAAUGUUCAUGGAUUCAAAAAAUAUCUUGAAUUUGAAAGACAUGUCCGGACAUUCCCAAAAUGUUCAUAAAUUUGAACAAAAUGUUCACAAAUUAAAAAACAUGUUCAGAAAACUAAAUAAAUGAUUCUCAAUUACGAAAAUAUUGAAAAAUCAAAAAAUGUUCGUUGAUUCAAAAAAUGUUAAUUAAUUUCGAAAAAUAUUUGUCAAACAAAUAGUAUUCAUGAAUGUCAAAAAUUGUUCCCAGAUUUCAAAAACUAUUUCUUGUCAAAAAUUAUUCAGCAAUUCAAAUGUCCAUGAGUUUUAAAACAAUGUUUACAAUUUUAAAAAAUUCUUAGAUAUAAAAAAAUGUUUGUGAAUUCAAAAAAUAUUCAAGAUUAAAUUAAAUUCAUGAAUUUUUAAACAUGUUCAUGAAUUUGAAAAAUAAUCACAACAAAACAAUGUUCAUGCAAUUGGAAAAUGCUCACAAUUUAAAUAAUGUUAAAAAUCAUUAAAAAGUUCAUAAAUUUGAAAAUAAGUUCAAAAAAUGAAAGACUGAAAAAAGAAAAGAAAAACUGACAUCAAAAUAGGAAAAUAUAAAUAAGGUAAAAACGAAAACGAAAAAUAGAAAUGAAAUAAUGAAAAUGAAAAAACAAAAAUAACCCGAAAGGAAAAAACUGGUAUGGAAAGGUUCUAGAACGUUCCCAAAACCGAAAAGGAGGUACUUGGGCCGCCCCAAAAUGUGUACCUAGUGGGAGGGGCGUAUGCGCUAGGAUUAGCCCCCUAAAAAGCUUCACAACUUUUGAGCAGAUCAAUGGUCUAGAUUAAAACAUGUCCUUUACUUUAGAAGGGGUAAUAUAAAAAAUUCACAUUAUAAAAACACUUGCAAUAAAAAAGAUAACGGGCGCUCUAGAAACCCAUGGCGGCUAGUGCGACUUGUUUGGAGCUAUUCGUCUCCUUCCCAACCCUUAUCCACUACCCCGGUCGUCCAUGUAUCUGUCAAAAGUGUUAGAUGAAGGAAAUAUGCCCUAUAGGCAAUAAUAAAGUUAUUAUUUAUUUCCUUAUUUCAUGAUAAAUGUUUAUUAUUCAUGCUAGAUUUGUAUUAACCGGAAACAUAAUACAUGUGUGAAUACAUAGACAAACAUAGUGUCACUAGUAUGCCUCUACUUGACUAGCCCGUUAAUCAAAGAUGGUUAAGUUUCCUAACCAUAGACAUGAGUUGUCAUUUGAUUAACGAGAGCACAUCAUUAGGAGAAUGAUAUGAUUGACUUGACCCAUUCCGUUAGCUUAGCACUUGAUCGUUUAGUAUUCUGCUAUUGCUUUCUUCAUGACUUAUACAUGUUCCUAUGACUAUGAGAUUAUGCAACUCCCGUUUACCGGAGGAACACUUUGUGUGCUAUCAAACGUGACAACGUAACUGGGUGAUUAUAAAGGUGCUCUACAGGUGUCUCCGAAGGUACUUGUUGGGUUGGCGUAUUUCGAGAUUAGGAUUUGUCACUCCGAUUGCCGGAGAGGUAUCUCUGGCCCACUCGGUAAUACACAUCACUUAAGCCUUGCAAGCAUUGCAACUAAUGAGUUAGUUGCGGGAUGAUGUGUUAUGGAACGAGUAAAGAGACUUGCCGGUAACGAAAUUGAACUAGGUAUUGAGAUACGGACGAUCGAAUCUCGGGCAAGUAACAUACCGAUGGCAAAGGGAACAACGUAUGUUGUUAUGCGGUUUGACCGAUAAAGAUCUUCGUAGAAUAUGUAGGAGCCAAUAUGAGCAUCCAUGUUCCGCUAUUGGUUACUGACCGGAGACGUGUCUCGGUCAUGUCUACAUAGUUCUCGAACCCGUAGGGUCCGCACGCUUAAAGUUCGAUGACGGUUAUAUUAUGAGUUUAUGGUUUUUGAUGUACCGAAGGUAAUUCGGAGUCCUGGAUGUGAUCACGGACAAGACGAGGAGUCUCGAAAUGUUUGAUACGUAAAGAUCAAUAUAUUGGACGACUAUAUUUGGAUAUCGGAAUGGUUCCGGGUGAGAUCAGGAUAAUACCGGAGCACCGGGAGGUUAUUGGAACCCUCCCCCCCGGAGGUAUAUGGGCCUUAAUGGGCUUUAGUGGAAAGGAGGGAAAAGGAGCAAGGGAGGGGGCGCCCCCCCCCCCCCCAAGCCCAAUCCGAAUAGGGAAGGGGGCCACCCCCCUUUCCUUCCUCCCUCCUUCCUCUUCCUUCCCUCCCCCUCUCCAAAUAGGAAAAGGAGGAGUCCUACUCCCGAUGGGAGUAGGACUCCCCCCUUGGGCGCGCCUCCUCCCCUUGACCAGCCCUCUCCUCCCCUCCUUUAUAUACGGAGGAGAGGGGCACCCCAUAGACAGAACAAUUGAUCUCUUGGAUCUUUUAGCCGUGUGCGGUGCCCCUCUCCACCAUAGUCCACCUCGAUAAUAUCGUAGCGGUGCUUAGGCGAAGCCCUGCGACGGUAGAACAACAUCGUCACCACGCCCUCGUGCUGAUAGAACUCUCCCUCACAGCUCGGCUGGAUAGGAGUUCGAGGGAUGAAACCGAGUUGAACGUGUGCAGAACUCGGAGGUGCCGUGCGUUCGGUACUUGAUCGGUCGGAUCGUGAAGACAUACGACUACAUCAACCGCGUUGUGCUAAUGCUUCCGCUUUCGGUCUACAAGGGUACGCGGACACACUCUCCCCUCUCGUUGCUAUGCAUCACCAUGAUCUUGCAUGUGCGUAGGAAAUUUUUUGAAAUUACUACGUUACCCAACAGUGGUAUCAGAGCCAGGUUUUAUGCGUUGAUGUUAUAUGCACGAGUAGAAAACAAGUGAGUUGUGGGCGAUACAAGUCAUACUGCUUACCAGCAUGUCAUACUUUGGUUCGGCGGUAUUGUUGGAUGAAGCGGCCCGGACCGACAUUACGCGUACGCUUACGCGAGACUGGUUCUACCGACGUGCUUUGCACACAAGUGGCUGGCGGGUGUCAGUUUCUUCAACUUUAGUUGAACCGAGUGUGGCUACGCCCGGUCCUUGAGAAGGUUAAAACAGCACUAACCUGACGAACUAUCGUUGUGGUUUUGAUGCGUAGGUAAGAACGGUUCUUGCUCAGCCCGUAGCAGCCACGUAAAACUUGCAACAACAAAGUAGAGAACGUCUAACUUGUUUUUGCAGGGCAUGUUGUGAUGUGAUAUGGUCAAGACAUGAUGCUAUAUUUUAUUAUAUGAGAUGAUCAUGUUUUGUAAUCGAGUUAUCGGCAACUGGCAAGAGCCAUAUGGUUAUCGCUUUAUUGUAUGCAAUGCAAUCGCCCUGUAAUUGCUCUACUUUAUCACUAGGCGGUAGCGAUAGUCAUAGAAGCAAUAGUUGGCGAGACGACAAUGAUGCUACGAUGGAGAUCAAGGUGUCGCACUGGUGACGAUGGUGAUCAUGACGGUGCUUCGGAGAUUGAGAUCACAAGCACAAGAUGAUGAUGGCCAUAUCAUAUCACUUAUAUUGAUUGCAUGUGAUGUUUAUCUUUUAUGCAUCUUAUUUUGCUUUGAUUGACGGUAGCAUUAUAAGAUGAUCUCUCACUAAAUUUCAAGAUAAAAGUAUUCUCCCUGAGUAUGCACCGUUGCCAAAGUUCGUCGUGCCCAGACACCAUGUGAUGAUCGGGUAUGAUAAGCUCUAUGUCCAUCUACAACGGGUGCAAGCCAGUUUUGCACACGCAGAAUACUCAGGUUAAACUUGACGAGCCUAGCAUAUGCAGAUAUGGCCUUGGAACACCGAGACCGAAAAGUCGAGCUUGAAUCAUAUAGUACAUAUGAUCAACAUAAUGAUGUUCACCAUUGAAAACUACUCCAUUUCACGUGAUGAUCAGUUAUGGUUUAGUUGAUUUGGAUCACAUGAUCACUUAGAUGAUUAGAGAGAUGUCUAUCUAAGUGGGAGUUCUUAAAGUAAUAUGGUUAAUUGGACUUUAAUUUAUCUUGAACUUAGUCCUGGUAGUAUUAGCAUAUCUAUGUUGUAUAUCAAUAGCUCGCGUUUAGCUCCCCUGUUUUAUUUUUGAUAUGUUCCUAGAGAAAACUAAGUUGAAAGAUGUUAAUAGCAAUGAUGCGGAUUGGAUCCGUGAUCUGAGGAUUAUCCUCACUGUUGCACAGAAAUAUUAUGUCCUUGAUGCACCGCUAGGUCACAGACCUAUUGCAGGAGCAGAUGCUGACGUUAUGAACAUUUUGACAAAAGCUCGGUAUGAUGACUACUUGAUAGUUUAGUGCACCAUGCUUUACGACUUAGAACCGGGACUUCAAAAAUGUUUUGAACGCCACGGAGCAUAUAAGAUAUUCCAAGAAUUGAAAUUGGUAUUUCAUACUCAUGCCAGUGUCGAGAGGUAUGAGACCUCUGACAUUACUUUGCCUACAAGAUGGAGGAGAAUAGCUCAACCAGUAAGCAUGUGCUCAGAUUGUCUGAGUACUACAAUCACUUGAAUCAAGUGGGAGUUAAUCUUCUAGAUAAUAUAGUGAUUGACAGAGUUCUCUAGUCACUAUCACCAAGUUGUUAGAACUUCAUGAUGAACUAUAAUAUGCAAGGGAUAACGGAAACGAUUCCCAAGCUCUUCAUGAUGCUGAAAUCGACGAAGGUAAAAAUCAAGAAAAGCAUCAAGUGUUGAUGGUUAACAAGACCACUAUUUUCAAGAAAAGGGCAAAUGGAAUAAGGGGAAUUUCAAGAAGAACGGCAAGCAAGUUGCUGCUCAAGUGAAGAAGCCCAAAUCUAGACCUAAGCCUGAGACUAAGUGCUUUUACUGCAAAGGGACUAGUCACUGGAAGUGGAACUGCCCCAAGUAUUUGGCAGAUAAGAAGGAUGGCAAAGUGAACAAAGGUAUAUUGGAUAUACAUGUUAUUGAUGUGUACUUUACUAGUGUUUAUAGCAACCCCUCAGUAUUUGAUACUAGUUCAGUUGCUAAGAGUAGUAACUUGAAAUGGUAGUUGGACAAUGAACAGAGACUAGUUAAGGGUGGAGCAACGAUGUGUGUUGGAAGUAGUUCCAAGAAUGAUAUGAUCGUCAUCGCACACUCCCUAUACUUUCAGGAUUAGUGUUGAACCUAAAUAAGUGUUAUUUGGUGUUUUCGUUGAGCAUGAAUAUGAUUUGAUCAUGUUUAUUGCAAUACGGUUAUUCAUUUAAGUUAGAGAAUAAUUGUUAUUCUGUUUACAUGAAUAAAACCUUCUAUGGUUAUACACCCAAUGAAAAUGGUUUGUUGAAUCUUGAUUGUAGUGAUACACAUAUUCAUAAUAUUGAAGCCAAAAGAUGCAAAGUUAAUAAUGAUAGUGCAACUUAUUUGUGGCACUGUCGUUUAGGUCAUAUUGGUGUAAAGCGCAUGAAGAAAAUCCAUGCUGAUGGGCUUUUGGAAUCACUUGAAUAUAAAUCAGUUGAUGCUUGCGAACCAUGCCUCAAGGGUAAAGAGGACUAAGACUCCGUUCUCCAGAACAAUGGAGCGAGGAACUGACUUAUUGGAUAUAAUACAUACUGAUGUAUGAGGUCCGAUGAGUGUUGAGGCUCGCGGCGGGUAUCGUUAUUUUCUGACCUUCACAGAUAAUUUGAGCAGAUAUGGGUAUAUCUACUUGAAGAAACAUAAGUCCGAAACAUUUGAAAAGUUUAAAGAAUUUCAGAGUGAAGUGGAAAAUCAUCGUAACAAGAAAAUAAAGUUUCUACGAUCUGAUCGUAGAGGCAAAUAUUUGAGUUACGAGUUUGGUCUUCAAUUAAAACAAUAUGGAAUAGUUUCACAAACUCAUGCCACCUGGAACACCAUAGCGUAAUGGUGUGUCCGAAAGUCAUAACUGUGCUUUAUUUGAUAUAGUGCAAUCUAUGAUGUCUCAUACCGAUUUACCACUAUCAUUUUGGGGUUAUGCAUUAGAGAUAGCUGCAUUCACAUUAAAAAGGGCACCAUCUAAAUCUGUUGAGAUAACACCGUAUGAACUGUGGUUUAGCAAGAAACCUAAGGUGUCGUUUCUUAAAGUUUGGGGUUGCGAUGCUUAUGUGAAAAAGGUUUAUCUUGAUAAGCUCAAACCCAAAUCGAAGAAGUGCGUCUUCAUAGGAUACCCAAAAGUAACUGUUGGGUACACCUUCUAUCACAGAUCCGAAGGCAAGAUAUUUGCUGCUGAGAAUAGAUCCUUUCUAGAGAAGGAGUUUCUCUCGAAAGAAGUGAGUGGGAGGAAAGUAGAACUUGAUGAGGUAACUGUACCUGCUCCCUUAUUGGAAAGUAGUUCAUCACAGAAAUCUGUUUCUGUGACUCCUACACCAAUUAGUGAGGAAACUAAUGAUGAUGAUCAUGUAACUUCAGAUCAAGUUAUUACCAAACCUCUUAGGUCAACCAGAGUGAGAUCCGCACCAGAGUGGUACGGUAAUCCUGUUCUGGAGGUCACGUUAAUUGACCAUGACGAACCUACGAACUAUGAGGAAGCGAUGAUGAGCCCAGAUUCCGCGAAAUGGCUUGAGGCAUGAAAUCUAAUAUGGGAUCCAUGUAUGAGAACAAAGUGUGGACUUUGGUUAACUUGCCCGAUGAUCGGCAAGCCAUAGAAAAUAAAUGGAUCUUCAAGAGGAAGACGGACAGUGAUAGUAGUGUUGCUAUCUACAAAGCUCGAAUUGUCGCAAAAUGUUUUCGACAAGUUCAAGGUGUUGACUACGAUGAGAUUUUCUCACUCGUAUCGAUGCUUAAGUCCGUCCGAAUCAUGUUAGCAAUUGCCGCAUUUUAUGAUUAUGAAAUUUGGCAAAUGGAUGUAAAGACUGCAUUCCUGAAUGGAUUUCUGGAAGAAGAGUUGUAUAUGAUGCAACCUGAAGGUUUUGUCGAUCCUAAAGGUGCUAACAAAGUGAGCAACCUCCAGCGAUCCAUCAAUGGACUGGUGCAAGCUUCUCGAAGUUGGAAUAAACGUUUUGAUAGUGUGAUCAAAGCAUAUGGUUUUAUACAGACUUGCGGUGAAGCCUGUAUUUACAAGAAAGUGAGUGGGAGCACUACAACAUUUCUAAUAAGAAGUGUGAAUGACAUAUUGUUGAUCGGAAAUAAUGUAGAAUUUUCUGGAAAGCAUAAAGAAGUAUUUGAAAUGAGUUUCUCAAAUAAAGACCUCGAUGAAGCUACUUACAUAUUGAGCAUCAAGAUCUAUAGAGAUAGAUCAAGACGCUUGAUAAGUUUUUUCAAUGAGUGCAUACCUUGACAAGAUUUUGAAGUAGUUCAAAAUGGAACAGUCAAAGAAAGAGAUCUUACCUGUGUUACAAGGUGUGAAAUUGAGUAAGACUCAAAGCCCGACCACGGCAGAAGAUAGAAAGAGAAUGAAAGUCAUUCCCUAUGCCUCAACCAUAGUUUCUAUAAAGUAUGCCAUGCUGUGUACCAGAUCUAUUGUAUACCCUACACUGAGUUUAGCAAUGGAAUACAAUAGUGAUCUAGGAGUAGAUCACUGGAUAGCGGUCAAAAUUAUCCUUAGUGGAAUAAGGAAAUAUUUCUCGACUAUGGAGGUGAUAAAAGAGUUCGUCGUAAAGAGUUACGUCGAUGCAAGCUUUUUACAUCGAUCUAGAUGACUCUAAGUCUCGAUCUGGAUACAUAUUAAAAGUGGGAGCAAUUAGCUAGAGUAGCUCCAUGCAAAGCAUUGUUGACACAGAAAUUUUCAAAAUACAUAUGGAUCUGAAUGUGGCAGACCCGUAGACUAAACUUCUCUCACAAGUAAAACAUGAUCACACCUUAGUACUCUUUGGGUGUUAAUCGCAUAGCGAUGUGAACUAGAUUAUUGACUCUAGUAAACCCUUUGGGUGUUGAUCACAUGACGAUGUGAACUAUGGGUGUUAAUCACAUGGUGAUGUGAACUAUUGGUGUUAAAUCACAUGGCGAUGUGAACUAGAUUAUUGACUCUAGUGCAAGUGGGAGACUGAAGGAAAUAUGCCCUAGAGCCAAUAAUAAAGUUAUUAUUUAUUUCCUUAUUUCAUGAUAAAUGUUUAUUAUUCAUGCUAGAUUUGUAUUAACCGGAAACAUAAUACAUGUGUGAAUACAUAGACAAACAUAGUGUCACUAGUAUGCCUCUACUUGACUAGCUCGCUAAUCAAAGAUGGUUAAGUUUCCUAACCAUAGACAUGAGUUGUCAUUUGAUUAACGGGAUCACAUCAUUAGGAGAAUGAUAUGAUUGACUUGACCCAUUCCGUUAGCUUAGCACUUGAUCGUUUAGUAUUCUGCUAUUGCUUUCUUCAUGACUUAUACAUGUUCCUAUGACUAUGAGAUUAUGCAACUCCCGUUUACCAGAGGAACACUUUGUGUGCUACCAAACGUCACAACGUAACAGGGUGAUUAUAAAGGUGCUCUACAGGUGUCUCCGAAGUUACUUGUUGGGUUGGCGUAUUUCGAGAUUAGGAUUUGUCACUCCGAUUGUCGGAGAGGUAUCUCUGGCCCCUCGGUAAUACACAUCACUUAAGCCUUGCAAGCAUUGCAACUAAUGAGUUAGUUGCGGGAUAAUGUGUUAUGGAACGAGUAAAGAGACUUGCCAGUAACGAGAUUGAACUAGGUAUUGAGAUACCGACGAUCGAAUCUCGGGCAAGUAACAUACCGAUGGCAAAGGGAACAACGUAUGUUGUUAUGCGGUUUGACCGAUAAAGAUCUUCGUAGAAUAUGUAGGAGCUAAUAUGAGCAUCCAUGUUCCGCUAUUGGUUAUUGAACGGAGACGUGUCUCAGUCAUGUCUACAUAGUUCUCGAACCCGUAGGGUCCGCACGCUUAAAGUUCGAUGACGGCUAUAUUUUGAGUUUAUGGUUUUUGAUGAACCGAAGGUAAUUCAGAGUCCUGGAUGUGAUCACGGACAAGACGAGGAGUCUCGAAAUGUUCGAGACGUAAAGAUCGAUAUAUUGGACGACUAUAUUUGGAUACCAGAAUGGUUCCGGGUGAGAUCGGGAUAAUACCGGAGCACCGGGAGGUUAUCGGACCCCCCCGGAGGUAUAUGGGCCUUAAUGGGCUUUAGUGGAAAGGAGGUAAAAGGAGAAAGGGAGGGGGCGCCCCCCCCCCCCCAAGCCCAACCCGAACUGGGAAGCCCCCCCCCUUUCCUUCCUCCCUCCUUCCUCUUCCUUCCCUCUCCCUCUCCAAAUAGGAAAAGGAGGAGUCCUACUCCCGGUGGGAGUAGGACUCCCCCCUUGGGCGCACCUCCUCCCCUUGGCCGGCCCUCUCCUCCCCUCCUUUAUAUACGGAGGAGAGGGGCACCCCAUAGACACAACAAUUUAUCUCUUGGAUCUUUUUGCUGUGUGCGGUGCCCCUCUCCACCAUAGUCCACCUCGAUAAUAUUGUAGCGGUACUUAGGCGAAGCCCUGUGACGGUAGAACAUCAACAUCGUCACCACGCCGUUGUGCUGAAGGAACUCUCCCUCAAAGCUCGGCUGGAUCGGAGUUUGAGGGACGUCAUCGAGUUGAACGUGUGCAGAACUCAGAGGUGCCGUGCGUUCGGUACUUGAUCGGUCGGAUCGUGAAGACAUACGACUACAUCAACCGCAUUGUGCUAAUGCUUUCGCUUGCGGUCUACAAGGGUACACGGACACACUCUCCCCUCUCGUUGUUAUGCAUCACCAUGAUCUUGCGUGUGCGUAGGAUUUCUUUUUAAAUUACUAUGUUACCCAACAUUAGACUCCUCCACUUUAUCUUACUCCUCACAUUCCCAUCAUCCGACAUAGUAUGACGACAUCUCAGCCCCUUGUAUUCACAUCACACGGUGUUCAAAUCGCACGAGCCACGAGGCCUUGUUUUUUAAACAGAAGUGGUGUACCCAAGCACCCCUAAUGAAAUUGGCGUUCCCUUGAUCCAAAGAAAAAAAGAGUAAAAAGAAACCAAACACUCCCCCCCCCACAUACACCUCCAGCGUUCCUAUGCACCGAAUUGUACACAACCAAUAGUUUCUACAUUGCUACACAUGAAUGAUGCUUACAGUUGAAAUAAAAGGCAACUCAUUGUCGCUUACAACUAAAUAGCAAAAGGAUACUAGGAGUAGAGUUUGACAUAGGCUAGAGUAAGUGCAUUAUAUAUCCUUAUUUCUGUUUCGCAAUUUUUUUUCCUUAUUUCUAGUGUGUGAUUGCCACCCAAGAUUGCAAUAGAACACCAGGUCAACUGACAAUCCAAUCCCUGGUGUUCUAUUAUAUGUCGAGUUAAAUACUAAAAAGUGCUACUAGGAGUAGAGUAUGAGAUGAACGAGAGUAAGUGCAUUAUGUAUAUCCUCAAUUAUAGUGUGCGGUCACCACCCAAGAUUGCAACAGAACACCAAUUUGGCUGACGAAACCAAUCUAGUCCAAUCGCUUAUUGAACUAAAAGUCGGUAUAUGUACUUAGGAGUUGCCUAACUAAAGCAUGCGGUUCAACUUGAUAGAUCUAGUAAGAUUCAACUCGAUAAUCGUUUAAUUCCUAAUGGUUUCUAUAAAAAAUAGUUACAAUAACUAACUCAAACGAAAUAUAAGCGAACAAUCAAACAUCGACCGGCUCACAUGGCUUCCAAAUAAAACUAAUUAACAGAUCGAGUAAUACAUUGUUUAUUCCUUGCUCUUAAUAUGAGGUUAUACAUAACAUAUUUUGGUCCAUCCUGAAGUAAGUAUUACGUAACAAGUACUAGCUAGUAUUUCAGUCUCUACUAGCAAAUGUUGCAAUAGCAAACAGCCUUGAUGGCGUUCUUCUUAUCACAGUGGUAGUCCUUGAGGCUGCCCUUCCUAUCACGUGCAAACACGUCACACGUGGCCUUGCAUAGAGGCUUGGUGCAGAAAAACUCCCCGCCGUCGUCAACGACCGCGAAAUUGUGCUGCACAACACCAAGAAAACACAAACCAUUAUAUUAGAAUAUUAGCGACAAACCCCCAUUAGAUUAGAUUAUACGUAUUUGACAAACACAAUUAAACACACCUGCAGAAAUAGGAGUACCCACAAGUGUUAGCACCACGAGGAAGCAAACAAUAGCAGCCCGUGUGUCCAUCCCAAGAGUUCUCUCCUUUUUUGAACUAGAAGGAAAAAUAUGUGUUCUCUUCGUCUAUUUUAAUUUGGCUAUGGGACUAAUGUUUAUGUCUUGAAGUGCUUGGAGUGUUGUCUUAUAUAGACUUAUUGAAAGGGACAAAAAUAAAAGCAUUUAAAUGAUUGUUAAACUUAGCAAAAGAGAUAGAGGUGAGUCACACCCCAAAAAUGGAAGCACUUAAUGCUGGGUGAGAAAUUAAAUGACGAAGGCAAAGAAUAUAUGAGUGAUGUUUAUCCAAUAAUCAAGGCUUUAAUUUUCGACUACAAAAUAAGCAUGACCAUUCAAAAAAUGGAGUCAUCUUUUUGUCGCUGGUGACAUUGAUCAAACAUGGUUUUUUAUAAAAAAAAAUGUAUAGCCACUUUAAUUGCAAACACCAUUGUGCAUUGAAAUUCAGUUGACUUCAACAAAACAAUCAAUAUGAAUUGCAUGCUUGAUAUGUAACCAACUAAAACUAAAAUUGUAUGUUGUCUCGAGUUGACUAAAUCACCAUUUUUGGCUAGACAAUGUUUAAAACUGUGUCAACUGUGUCAAUUUGCACGGCGCCUGGGACAAUGCAAUGUCAAAUCUUGCACUAUUUUAAACCACCACAAGAUAAGCAAGCUGAGUUGGCCCGGGCCUCUUGCCAGACGCUGGCAUCCACCUCGAAAUCUAUAUCAAUAUAUUUUUUGUAUCACAUGAAUCAUAUAGUAUUGGUCUAAAAUAUAUUUUCUCUUGUUGCAAAAUAUGAAAGAAAAAUCGGCACAACAAUAUUAUAUAGACCCAUCGCAACAAUAGCAUGCUUCACAGUCGGUGGGUCCCAUGUAAAGACAUUUGGAAAUACCUCAAAAAUGCAUAUGUGUACUAUUUAUUAUUGUCCAAGAAUUUCACAUGCUCACUCACAACAAACUGUUGAAGAAUUCCGUGCAACUUAGAAACUAACGUAUGCAACAACGCGAGCACAACAUUUGUGUUAGGACUAACAAAAUUACAUUACAUUGUAGCAUGUCACACAUGUGUAUGUAGUAUGACGCAAAUGAGUUCACAGCAUACCAAAACAACGAAUGGUAACUACAAAAAAUUCCCAUAAAUCUAACAUUUUACAACCAAAAAAUUUGGUGGGCACUGACCUCACCUCAUCAAACUUGCUCUAAUAUUCUAGUUAGUGUAGAGUUUUGGAUUAAGCUAAAGUUGCUCUAGUAUUAUGCCACAACAAAAAGGAAAGAAAUGGGGGAAAACAAAGAAGAGCGGAGCAGGGUGGCUUACUCGGAUCUAAGUCGGCCAAUAUCAAUCGCAUUGCCCUCCUAAAUCCUGAUUACUCAAGCCAGCCCAAAAUUGAGGGGCUACUAAAAUAGAAGUUGAGCCUAUGGUGCAAGAACAGAAAAGCCAUUGGAUUGGAUAUGGAUAGCACAUGAUCUGGUGGAGCGAUCUCAGGCCACUUUUUGUAUAUUUUAUGAAAAAACCCUAUUAACAGUUAGGUACAAAACAAAACAUUCGCAGUGACCACCUUAAGUAUCUCAUCUCCCAAUCCAAUAGUGGAGUUAACGACCAUUUACAGAUUUCAGGUUUUUUCCAGCGACCAUUUAUAGAAUUUGCACAACCUCAUAUCCUAUCAGUUUUAUAAAAUAUAUUUUCACAUACCGAGCACAAAUAUAUGGUUGUAAGAAUGAAGAACUCAUACUCAUGCUUGUUUUAAUUCUAGUAUUUACACCCCUAAGGUUGUUAAGGUCCGGUUACAAAAACUCGAAUUUAAUUCUCUUAUAAGAACUUGUUAGAGUCCUGUCAUAGUGCACAUCCUCUCGUGGAUUCGAUAACUCAAGGUUGCUCCUUCGGGAAAAGGGAGGGAAACCUUUGUUGUCCAAACCGGAUCUCAAAGAGCACCACCCAUCUCUCACCCUACUCGAUGAUACAACAUCGACGACCAGGUACGUGUGUAACCAACCGUCUGCUCCCUCGCUCUGUCACUGUGGUGCUAUUCAUUACAUCAAGUCGGGACCCAUUUCCUUCCUUUUGAGGUUAACAAUUAAGGUUUCUAGUCUAUAUGAGGGCCUUCGGAUUCAACUUAUAAGAAUGUUAGUUCAAAUUUAAUGAUGAUUAUUUCAAGUGGAUGGUUAUGUGAACUAGGUUGGUAGAGUGGUGGCCGACCACUGUUGCGGCGGACUUCAGGGAUGUUUGAUCUAUCCACCUGGCUUGAUCAAGCAGCGUCGACAUUUGUGCAUCAUUAUUUUGUUGAAUAUGUUCGUUCGAUUUGCUUGUUGCAGGGGUGAUAGCCUCUGGUCCGACGUUUGGUUACACGAGACAAUAAGCUCCCCUUGCAAAAGUGUAUGAUGUGGGAAUUACGUGUUGUACUCCUCAGGUGCAAACGCACGUAUAUAUGAUGUACAGGAGUAGGCCACGACCUCAAUUAUACAAGGCAACUAGGAGGUGGGCCCAAUACACAAAUAUGCACAACAAAGACUGGACCGGAACUCCUCAAAAUGAUGCCGUAGGCAAGUCCUUGGUCAUGGUAUAUGCAAAUUGUUGGGAAGUAGGGACGUGUAAAACACGAAUAUGGCCAAGGGCCACCUAUUCCCGAACAAAAUGAAUAUCCAACUCAAUAUGCUUGGUCCGUCGAUGAUGCACCGGGUUAGCGGAGAGGUAGACUGCCGAGACGUUGUCGCAAUAGACCACCGUGGCACGGUCAACAGGGAAAGAGAGCUCCUGAAGCAGCUGGCGAAGCCACGAACACUCGGCGACGGUGUUGGCCACCGCAGGAUACUCAGCCUCAGCGUUGGAACGAGAGACCGUAGGCUGCCGCGUGGAUGACCACGAGAUAAGUGAGGGUCCAAGGUAGACACAAUAGCCCGAGGUGGAGCGACGAGUUUUAGGGCAGCCCGCCCAGUCUGCAUUGAAGUAGGCGGCGAGGGCAGUGUCGGCGGAGGCAUGAAGCGUGACACCAAGAUCCAUAGUGCCACAGACAUAGCGGAGAAUCCGUUUGACAACGGCCCAGUGCAUCUCGAGGAGCAUGCAUAUGAAGACACACCUGCUGCACGACAUACUGGAUCUCUGGUUGAGUUAAAGUGAGGUACUGAAGAGCACCAACAAUAGACCGAUAAAAAGCAGCAUCCGAAGCAGGAGAACCAUCCGUGGCAGAAAGCUUGGCCUUUGUAUAAACAGGCGUAGCAGCGGGCUUGUAGUUAAGCAUGUUGGCCCGCUCCAGGAGCUCAUGAGCAUACUUCCGCUGAUGAAAGAAGAAGCCAUCCGGACGGCACACCACCUCGACACCGAGGAAGUUGUGCAAAGGACCCAAGUCCUUGAUGGCAAACUCAGCGCGAAGACGAGCCAUGAGCUGACCGAGGAGACCAACCAUACAUGCCGUCAGGAUGACGUCGUCGACAUAGAGCAGAAAGUAGGCCGUGUUAGAGCCCUGAUGAUAGACGAAGAGCGAGGCGUCCGAGCGGGUGGAGCGGAACCCAAGCUGGUGGAGAAACGCUGCGAUGCGCUGGUACCAAGCACGCAGAGCCUUCUUAAGUUCAUACAAGGACCGCGAAAGCAGGCACACGUGGUCGGGAAGCGCCGGGUCAACAAACCCGGUGUGCUGCUGGCAGAAGACCUGCUACUCCAGGUGACCAUGGAGCAAGGCGUUGGAGACGUCCAUCUGGUGCACCGGCCAAGCACGGGAGACUGCAAGGUGGAGAACCGUGUGUAUCGUGUCGGGCUUGACGACCAGAGCGAAGGUGUCGAUGAAGUCGAUGCCAGCACGCUGUCGGAAGCCACGAACGACCCAACGCGGUUUGUAGCGAUCAAAGGUACCAUCGGGACGGAGGUUGUGUUUGAAGACCCACUUCCCGGUAAUCACGUUGGCGUGCUGAGGACAGGAAACAAACAUAGAAGAUUUGACUUUAGAAAAAAAAUAGUACAACUUAUCUAUACCUAAUAUUAAAGGACGGAGAUUUUUAUAGUUCUCCAUACAUCUAACUUUAUUAAUAGUCUUCAUCGGCCCACCGGAGCAAGACAAUAAGUAGGCCUGGAAACACUCGAUUCAAUGGGCCUGAAAAAUAAACGGGCAUGCAUCCUCUCUCGCUCAUCUCUCUCCUCUCGAACCCCUCAUAAAAAAUUUCUCUCCUCUCGAUCCCUUCGCUCUCUACUACGAGCGCUCCUGGGGCAGACAUGUUCUCCCUUCUCUCUACCGCUGCGGAUGGCCCAACUUGACUCCGAGACGAACUCUGCUCGAGCACGCACCCAUAGGGUGUCCCGACAGGUUCUUUGCGGUUCCGCAGGCUGGUCUAGGAACAUAUAGAAACAAAUUGACGCCAUCAAACGAAGCCCCAGCUCAAUUGCCUGGUUGCGGAGUGCGGCGGCAUGUCGAGCCGAACGCCGGCAAGAUCAUACAGGAUGAGGCAGUAGAUGCCAACGAUAGUGUGCGUCACCCAACUCGACGCAGGCGAGGAAGAUGAGCAGGACGGCGUUGGAGCUCAGCAGGGCGCCGACGAGAACGUACGGGAAGAGGCGGUAGACGCCGAUGGCGGUGUAGGUAACCCACCCAGCUCGACGAAGGUGAGGAAGAUGAGUAGGACGGGGGGUAGCCGGGGAUUUGAAGAGGACUCGGAAGGGCUACACGAGCAUGACCAGGUCGUCACUGAAUCGGAUCCGUCACCUCAUGCGGCUGAGCUGUUAGAGGACGAUGCAGAGGCUCUGGUCAAAGGCGACCAUGAUGGAUGUGUCACCGCCGGCCACGCGAUAGAGGAAGAAGGUGAGGCUCAAGAGCCGGCCAGCCGAGUGGACGUGCCGGUGCAGUUGUGACCGCUCGGGAGGUUGAAGGCAAGCGAGGGAGCUCAUGCGGCGACGUCGGCAAGGCUCGGUGGCGAGAUAGCGCAGAAGAGCGGUGCAGCGGAGCGACAACCACGAUGCUAGGGCGUUGCGGAGAGAAAGGAUGAAGAGAGAUAGGGCAAGGGAGUCCUACUGCUGGUGGAGGCACGCAGGAGGAGCUCGAGCAUCAGUUGGCGGGCGAAGCAAGGAGUCGCAGGGCUUUCCAGCGACUAUGAUGGUGCGGGUUGAUCUGGGGAGGCUGGGAGAGCUGCCUCCUAGGGGCGCUGGUUCGGGUUGACGUGUGCGUCAUGUGCACUGCUACAAAAUUGCUGGAUAUGUGUAUCUAUAUGUGUGCGGCUGCGAUUUGAAAGUCGUAGCAAUGCACAGGCUUAUAAUUAAAUAAUUAUAUAUCUUUACUUGUUCAGUAGCAACACAUGCUAGCAAGCAGCAGAGACAGUAUACUAUGUUGGCGAUCAUUUGGCGAGCGAGCAGUUGAAUUGCUGCUGGCAUGCAUUGUGCAGGGGCAUGUUCGCUUGGGUCUUGGGACGAAAUCGACUGAGUCAAUAAAUAAUUUUUUAAAAGGAUAUUAGACCCUCGGCCUCUGCAUCAUUCAUUAUGAUGCACACAAAUAUUUUUAGCAAAGUUAGCCAUGGGUCGAACCAUUAGAUAUCAAAUAGACAUCUACAACUAAGUCGACUUCUGCUGCAACAUCUCUUCAAGAAGGGAUAAACUUUCUCGCCAUCGACCGAAACAAUCCGUAAGAAGAAGAAAAUGAUCACACAUGUGAAACAUAAUUGUCAAUACAAAUACAUGACACAUGGUGGUACGAACACACAUCACGAUGGAAGAAUACCAGCAACUUAAAAGCAAGCCUACAUCAAAUCUAUAUUUCAUUAGUAUUUAGUCCAUAUUUUUAUUUCUAUCAACCUAAACUCCAAUUACGUUAAAAUUUAGGUUUGAACUGCAGAUAUGAGAUUUCGAAUUUAAAGAUUGAACGUAUAUUUAAAGUUCUCAUAGUAUGUGUCUAUUUUUUGGGGUGUCUUUUUACUCGAUAGGAAUCCAAUUCAAUGCUCAAAAUCAAAUAACAAGAUUAUUGCUACAUAUUUUGAUAAAGCUAAAUUUUACUUGAAUUUUGGAUGUAGUUUAGACAAAUAAUUCUCACUAAAUCUUACUAUGGGCCAAUUUUUCUCUACCGUUGCAACACACCGGAUCGAGAGUUUCCAAGAAAACAUUGUCAGUCAGAUGCAUUUACUCCAGAUCAUAACUCAUGUCCUAAGCUUCACGUCGUGAUCCUCAAAUCAUGCAUCUUUUUAUUUUCUCAUCAUCAACCGUUGUGACAUGACACAGUUCCUCGACCUGGCCAACCAUGGUUCAUAGGAACUGGUAUAUUUCUCCCGCUGCAACGCACGGGCAUUCGUGCUAGUAUUUUGAAACGGGAGUUAGUAGGUACACCAAUAAUUCGAUAUACCCACAAAAUGCUGGCUCUAGUUCCUUUCAUGGCUCCUUUGAUGUAAGAAAGAUGCUAGUAGUGACUAGAGACAAAGGGAAUCAAAUUAUGGGAGGAGGCGGCCCUAUCUAUAUUCCUCUUCUCCAAGCGGUAGCUCCCGUCCAUCCUUUGCCAAAAGUGGAGCAUCUCUCAUUUCCUUCUUCAUCUUCUCCUCCUCCUCCUUUCUUGAUGCUCACUCGCCUAUAAAUAGCUCUCGCUGCCUGCCAUUGUUACUCAAGCUAGCAAGCAAGAAGCACAAAAGAAGCCAACACCAAUCAAGGCCUCCAUCCAAUCCCAAGCAACCUCGAAGAUGUCUUGCUGCGGAGGAAGCUGCGGCAGCGCCUGCAAGUGCGGCAACGGCUGCGGCGGCUGCAACAUGUACCCCGAGGUCGAGGCCGCCGGCGCCACCCUCCUCGUCGCCGCCACCGCCACCCACAAGGCGUACGUCCCUUCUCUUUCCUCAUACAUCAUGCGCCUCGCUGUAAUAUGACUAUAUAUGUUGAUCUUGCUAUGGGACUAAGGAUGGAUGGAUGGGUGCAGGAGCUCCGGCGGGAUGGAGAUGGCGGCGGAGAAUGGCGGCUGCGGCUGCACCCAGUGCAAGUGCGGCACCAGCUGCGGCUGCUCCUGCUGCAGCUGCUAGAUCAUUGAUCAUCGAUCAUGCAUGCACCGCGCGCAUGCAUCAUAUCUAUGAUCGAUCCAUCCAUCCAUCUAGUACCAUGUAACGCUACCUGAUCGAGGGUCUUUGUAUGUAUGUAAGCACCUGCCAGCAUGAGCAGAGCAGGUGCACUCCCAUGCAUGUAAACCGACCCCUAAAUAAAAUCUCCCGUGGUUUAACCUAUACAUGUGUUUGUGUUAUAGACCAGCUUCUGGCCCAUGUUUACUAUCAACUUGCGAGGUGCCUGGGUUGCUAAUAGACCAGCUGAAUGCUCUCUUAAAGCAACGUAUGCACCGCUUGGAAUCGGUGUAUCUUUCUUUAUACACAUGUAUUUAUUUUACAGGUGUAUAUCAUCGGCCACACCUGGGAAAAACGAUGGAUGGAGAAGGGUAAAUUUACAGGGGUAUUGCUCUGUGAAACGAGGGUCGAAUCAGGGUCGUAAGGGUGUUUGAUACGUGUGAAUAUUACUGGCCGAAGUUGAGUAUGAGAUACAUACAAUACAAACUUGACACUUUUGAAAGUCGUGCUAUCAAUCAUGAGACACAUAGUUUAGCCAAAUUCUCGCUUAAUCUUUGUCAAAGGGUGUCACGUACUCACGUCUGGUUUGGCCAACCCCAUGAUCCGAUAUGUAUCCCACUCUUUGUGGUUUUCGAUGAAUAAAAUUUGGUUAAACCCUAAAAAAAACUUAUUUUGC